Molecule: unclassified non-coding RNA, 117 nt
Organism: Macaca fascicularis (crab-eating macaque)
Lineage: Eukaryota; Metazoa; Chordata; Mammalia; Primates; Cercopithecidae
Rfam family: Metazoan signal recognition particle RNA
About the family: The signal recognition particle (SRP) is a universally conserved ribonucleoprotein. It is involved in the co-translational targeting of proteins to membranes. The eukaryotic SRP consists of a 300-nucleotide 7S RNA and six proteins: SRPs 72, 68, 54, 19, 14, and 9.
Source: Ensembl
GCUGGGCAUGGUGGCUCAUGCCUGUAAUCCCAGUACCUUGGGAGGCCGAGGCAGGUGGAUCAUCUGAGGUCAGGAGUUCCAGACCAGCCUGGCCAACAUGGUGAAACCCCGUCUCUA